Molecule: unclassified non-coding RNA, 346 nt
Filed under: soil metagenome
Description: partial contains 5.8S ribosomal RNA, internal transcribed spacer 2, and large subunit ribosomal RNA
Rfam family: 5.8S ribosomal RNA (bases 1-120)
Source: RNAcentral
GAUGAAGAACGCAGCAAAAUGCGAUAAGUGAUGUGAAUUGCAGAAUUCAGUGAAUCAUCGAAUCUUUGAACGCACAUUGCGCCCGCCAGUAUUCUGGCGGGCAUGCCUGUUCGAUCGUCAUUUCAACCCUCAAGCCCUCGGGUUUGGUGUUGGGGAUCGGCGAGCCUUUCUGGCAAGCCGGCCCCGAAAUCUAGUGGCGGUCUCGCUGCAGCCUCCAUUGCGUAGUAGUAAAACCCUCGCAACUGGAACGCGGCGCGGCCAAGCCGUUAAACCCCCAACUUCUGAAUGUUGACCUCGGAUCAGGUAGGAAUACCCGCUGAACUUAAGCAUAUCAAUAAGCGGAGGA